RNAcentral lists this long non-coding RNA (294 nucleotides) under Actinidia chinensis (golden kiwifruit). Its description in RNAcentral is "long non-coding RNA (ACHI_LNC001467)". Lineage: Eukaryota; Viridiplantae; Streptophyta; Magnoliopsida; Ericales; Actinidiaceae. The record is from RNAcentral.
AGGGAUUUGUUAAAGAUUUGCAAGUUGAAACCGAAAUAGAAAUCCUCGUGAGGAUGUAGAUAACGGUAGGGAAUGUUCUGGUCUCCGGAUUGGCAAUGGACGGUCAAGUUAUUGACAGCGUCGUUGAGAUCGUCCACGAUGUGAACCUCAUAUCUUGCUGUAAGAGCUGCUUCUGAAGCAGAGCAAGCAAGGUAAAUGGUGAGGACGAGGAAGGCAACUAGGGUUCUCAUCAUAGUGUGUGAACUUGGUUGCAAGUGUGGUGGUUGUGGUGUGUUUCAAUUUGUGUGUUUCAUG